RNAcentral lists this ribosomal RNA (172 nucleotides) under uncultured soil bacterium. Its description in RNAcentral is "partial 16S ribosomal RNA". It matches the Rfam family "Bacterial small subunit ribosomal RNA", at positions 335 to 524 of the family's 1533-position model. The record is from RNAcentral.
ACUCCUACGGGAGGCAGCAGUCGGGAAUUUUGCGCAAUGGACGAAAGUCUGACGCAGCAACGCCGCGUGAGGGAUGAAGGCCUUCGGGUUGUAAACCACUUUUAUCAGGGAAGAUGAUGACGGUACCUGAUGAAUAAGUCACGGCUAACUACGUGCCAGCAGCCGCGGUAAU